AGAGUUUGAUCCUGGCUCAGGAUGAACGCUAGCGAUAGGCUUAACACAUGCAAGUCGAGGGGCAGCAUGGUCUUAGCUUGCUAAGGCUGAUGGCGACCGGCGUAAGGGUGCGUAACGCGUAUGUAACUUGCCUUUGAGAGGGGGAUAACCCGGAGAAAUCCGGCCUAAUACCGCGUAUUCUCAAGUUGCUGCAUGGCAGUUUGAGGAAAGAUUUAUUGCUCAGAGAUAGGCAUGCGUUCCAUUAGGUAGUUGGUGAGGUAACGGCUCACCAAGCCGACGAUGGAUAGGGGAGCUGAGAGGCUGACCCCCCACACUGGGACUGAGACACGGCCCAGACUCCUACGGGAGGCAGCAGUGAGGAAUAUUGGUCAAUGGAGGCAACUCUGAACCAGCCAAGUCGCGUGAAGGAAGACUGUCCUAUGGGUUGUAAACUUCUUUAGUAGGUGAAUAGAGUCGGGCACGUGUGCCCGUAGGCAUGUAACCUAAGAAUAAGUAUCGGCUAACUCCGUGCCAGCAGCCGCGGUAAUACGGAGGAUACGAGCGUUAUCCGGAAUUAUUGGGUUUAAAGGGUGCGUAGGUGGCAGAUUAAGUCAGUGGUGAAAAGCUGUGGCUCAACCAUAGUCUUGCCGUUGAAACUGGUUUGCUAGAGUACAGAUGCUGUGGGCGGAAUGCGUAGUGUAGCGGUGAAAUGCAUAGAUAUUACGCAGAACUCCGAUUGCGAGGGCAGCUCACAAAGUUGUAACUGACACUGAUGCACGAAAGCGUGGGUAUCAAACAGGAUUAGAUACCCUGGUAGUCCACGCUGUAAACUAUGAUUACUCAGAGUAUGCGAUAUAGGGUAUGCUCUCAAGCGAAAGCGAUAAGUAAUCCACCUGGGGGAGUACGCCGGCAACGGUGAAACUCAAAGGAAUUGACGG
RNAcentral lists this ribosomal RNA (917 nucleotides) under uncultured bacterium. RNAcentral describes it as "bacterial SSU rRNA". It matches the Rfam family "Bacterial small subunit ribosomal RNA", at positions 8 to 916 of the family's 1533-position model. The record is from RNAcentral.